AGAGUUUGAUCCUGGCUCAGAACGAACGCUGGCGGCGUGGAUUAGGCAUGCAAGUCGAACGAUCCCUUUUUUCGGAGGGGGAUAGUGGCAAACGGGUGAGUAACGCGUGGGUAAUUUACCUUUAGGUUCGGAACAACCCGCCGAAAGGCGGGCUAAUACCGGAUGAGACUACGACUUCCAAGAAGCAGUAGUUAAAGAUGGGGAUCCUGAAAAUGGACCUGGCGCCUUUAGAUGAGCCCGCGUCCUAUCAGCUUGUUGGUGGGGUAAAAGCCUACCAAGGCUAAGACGGGUAGCUGGUCUGAGAGGAUGAUCAGUCACACUGGGACUGAGACACUGCCCAGACUCCUACGGGAGGCUGCAGUCGAGAAUCUUUUGCAAUGCCCGAAAGGGUGACAAUGCGACGCCGCGUGAGCGAUGAAGGCCCUCGGGUUGUAAAGCUCUGUCAGCUGGGACGAAUGUAAAAGUGUUAAUAACAUUUUUANGGGNCG
RNAcentral lists this ribosomal RNA (488 nucleotides) under uncultured bacterium. RNAcentral's name for it is "bacterial SSU rRNA". It matches the Rfam family "Bacterial small subunit ribosomal RNA", at positions 8 to 474 of the family's 1533-position model. The record is from RNAcentral.